RNAcentral lists this ribosomal RNA (562 nucleotides) under uncultured bacterium. RNAcentral describes it as "partial 16S ribosomal RNA". It matches the Rfam family "Bacterial small subunit ribosomal RNA", at positions 355 to 1376 of the family's 1533-position model. The record is from RNAcentral.
UGGGGAAUAUUGGACAAUGGGCGCAAGCCUGAUCCAGCCAUGCCGCGUGAGUGAUGAAGGCCCUAGGGUUGUAAAGCUCUUUCACCGGUGAAGAUAAUGACGGUAACCGGAGAAGAAGCCCCGGCUAACUUCGUGCCAGCAGCCGCGGUAAUACGAAGGGGGCUAGCGUUGUUCGGAAUUACUGGGCGUAAAGCGCACGUAGGCGGACAUUUAAGUCAGGGGUGAAAUCCCAGGGCUCAACCCCGGAACUGCCUUUGAUACUGGGUGUCUAGAGUUCGAGAGAGGUGAGUGGAAUUCCGAGUGUAGAGGUGAAAUUCGUAGAUAUUCGGAGGAACACCAGUGGCGAAGGCGGCUCACUGGCUCGAUACUGACGCUGAGGUGCGAAAGCGUGGGGAGCAAAACAGGAUUAGAUACCCUGGUAGUCCACGCCGUAAACGAUGGAAGCCAGCUGUCGGCAAGUUUACUUGUCGGUGGCGCAGCUAACGCAUUAAGCUUCCCGCCUGGGGAGUACGGUCGCAAGAUUAAAACUCAAAUGAAUUGACGGGGUCAUAGCUGUUUCCUG